UGGUCAUCAGGGGUACUACCAAGUUUAU
This 28-nucleotide non-coding RNA is filed under the name Mus musculus (house mouse). Lineage: Eukaryota; Metazoa; Chordata; Mammalia; Rodentia; Muridae. The record is from RNAcentral.